GGUGACUAUAAGUUUAACGGCCGCAGUAUUUUAACCGCGCGAAGGUAGCGUAAUCACCUGUUUUUUAAAUGAAGACCUGUAUGAAUGGCCCAACGAGGGCUUAACUGUCUCCCUCCUCCAGUCAAUGAAAUUGACCUCCCCGUGCAGAGGCGGGGAUAUUAACAUAAGACGAGAAGACCCUGUGGAGCUUUAGACCUAAAAUAAAUCAUGUUUAAUAUUCUGCUGUACCAGUAAAAACUCAACGAUAAUUAUUGAAGUGUCUUCGGUUGGGGCGACCCUGGGGAAAAACACAACCCCCAUGUGGACUGGGAAUACUAUUCCUAACACUCAGAGUCCCUACUCCAAGUAACAGAAAUUCUGACCUUUAUGAUCCGGUAAUACCGAUCAACGAAUCAAGUUACCCCAGGGAUAACAGCGCAAUCCCCUCUAAGAGCCCUUAUCGACGAGGGGGUUUACGACCUCGAUGUUGGAUCAGGACAUCCUAUUGGUGUAACCGCUAUUAAGGGUUCGUUUGUUCAACG
RNAcentral lists this ribosomal RNA (521 nucleotides) under Squalogadus modificatus (tadpole whiptail). RNAcentral describes it as "partial 16S ribosomal RNA". It matches the Rfam family "Bacterial large subunit ribosomal RNA", at positions 1865 to 2586 of the family's 2925-position model. Lineage: Eukaryota; Metazoa; Chordata; Actinopteri; Gadiformes; Macrouridae. The record is from RNAcentral.